UGGCAUAAUGAUUAAGUGUUUGGCUGCUAAUCAAAAGGUUGGCAGUUUGAAUCUGCC
This 57-nucleotide transfer RNA is filed under the name Loxodonta africana (African savanna elephant). It matches the Rfam family "tRNA", at positions 8 to 63 of the family's 71-position model. Rfam says of the family: Transfer RNA (tRNA) molecules are approximately 80 nucleotides in length. Their secondary structure includes four short double-helical elements and three loops (D, anti-codon, and T loops). Further hydrogen bonds mediate the characteristic L-shaped molecular structure. tRNAs have two regions of fundamental functional importance: the anti-codon, which is responsible for specific mRNA codon recognition, and the 3' end, to which the tRNAs corresponding amino acid is attached (by aminoacyl-tRNA synthetases). tRNAs cope with the degeneracy of the genetic code in two manners: having more than one tRNA (with a specific anti-codon) for a particular amino acid; and 'wobble' base-pairing, i.e. permitting non-standard base-pairing at the 3rd anti-codon position. Lineage: Eukaryota; Metazoa; Chordata; Mammalia; Proboscidea; Elephantidae. The record is from Rfam by way of RNAcentral.